This 375-nucleotide ribosomal RNA is filed under the name uncultured bacterium. RNAcentral's name for it is "bacterial SSU rRNA". It matches the Rfam family "Bacterial small subunit ribosomal RNA", at positions 431 to 793 of the family's 1533-position model. The record is from RNAcentral.
CACUUUCAGUUGUGAGGAAGGUGGUGUUGUGAAUAGCAGCAUCAUUUGACGUUAGCAACAGAAGAAGCACCGGCUAACUCCGUGCCAGCAGCCGCGGUAAUACGGAGGGUGCGAGCGUUAAUCGGAAUUACUGGGCGUAAAGCGCAUGCAGGUGGUUUGUUAAGUCAGAUGUGAAAGACCCCGGGCCUCAACCUGGGAAUUGCAUUUGUAAACUGGCAAACUAGAGUACUGUAGAGGGGGGUAGGAAUUUCAGGUGUAGCGGUGAAAUGCGUAGAGAUCUGAAGGAAUACCGGUGGCGAAGGCGGCCCCCUCGGACAGAUACUGACACUCAGAUGCGAAAGCGUGGGGAGCAAACAGGAUUAGAUACCCUGGUAG